Molecule: long non-coding RNA, 163 nt
Organism: Monomorium pharaonis (pharaoh ant)
Lineage: Eukaryota; Metazoa; Arthropoda; Insecta; Hymenoptera; Formicidae
Exons: 3
Source: RefSeq, a predicted model, not a curated record
UGUGCAGACAUCUUUUUAGGACAUAAAGGACUGCGAUAAAUUUAACCGCGAUUGUGUGCAGACAUCUUUUUAGGACAUAAAGGACUGCGAUAAAUUUAACCGCGAUUGUGUGUGUGCAAACAUCUUUUUAGGACAAAGGACUGUGAUAAAUUUAACUGCGGUG